Passer domesticus (house sparrow) is the source of this 3252-nucleotide long non-coding RNA. RefSeq lists it as uncharacterized. The transcript has 4 exons. Lineage: Eukaryota; Metazoa; Chordata; Aves; Passeriformes; Passeridae. The record is from RefSeq and is a predicted model, not a curated record.
AUCACUCAUUUAUGUUCUCUUACAAGUAAUUAAAAAAAAAAGAAGUUGAGAUAGUAAGCUAGUACACGAGUAUGCAAUUUCUAUGGGGUGACUAAGAAAGCAACAUCUUUUCUUACAAAUUCUUGAGUAAAAUUCAAGCAGGCAAUAAUAUUAAAUCCAUUAACUUUCAGAAUGCAUUCUGUAUAUGUUUAUACCCUUCUUAGGACAGAUAAUUUGUGCCAAUCCUUGCUGCACCAUCACUGAAAAGAGAUGAAAACAACUGAUUUAGAGUGGACCCUAUAGGAAGGAGUAAGGUCAGGGCUUGGUAAAAUUAUGAAGAAGAUUAUUAUGGGAGUUACUAAAAAGAACCUGAAAGACACCACUAUCACUUAUCACAGCCAGCAUGGCUUCAUGAGGGGCAAAGUCCUGCCUGUCAAACCUGAUUUCCUUUAAAGAUAAGGUAACACAUGCAGGUGAUAAACAGCAAAUAAUGUAUUUGAUCUUUUUGGAUUUCAAUAAAUCUUCCAAUACUGUCUCUCACAGGAUCCUUCUGGAAAAAAUGGGCAGCCCACAACUGGAUAACCACAUCAUGGGAUGGGUGAGCAGCUGGGUCACAGGUCAGCCACAAAGGUUUACAGUGAAUGGGGGUGACAGCAGACUGGGGACCUGUCAUUAGUGGGGUUCCACAGGGCCCCAUCCUCAGCCCUGUGCUCUUCAACAUCUUCAUAAAUGACUUGGAUUGGGAACUGGAAGAAAUACUCAGUAAGUUCCCAAAAACAGAGGAGCUGCUGACUCCCUCAAAAGGCAGGGAGAUCCUGCAGAGAGGCCUCGACAAAUCAGGGGUCUGGGCAAUCACCAAUCGUAUGAAGUUCAACAGGGGAAAGUGCUGGAUUCAGCACCUGGGAUGGGGCAGCCCUGGAUGUAUGGACAGACUGGGAAAUGCUGAGGAAAAAUGAAUGCACCUGAGUUUCUUCACUGAAGGACUGAAAAAAUAUUCCCUAUCUCCACUCCAGGCUUGAGGACUGGACAUAAGGAUGUUACAAAAAAAAAUCAAUGGAUUUGUAAUUUGAUUUAUGUAUUCCUGUGACUAAGUUGCUGUGCAAAAGGUACAAAAGCCUCAGUCAUAAAAAGAAAGAGAAAGAAGUAAAUGGGUAAUGCAAGAAACCCCAAGAAGAAUACACUGUCUGAAGAACAGGGCAAACUGGAAAAAAUGAUGGACAAGAGAGACAAGAAUUCUGCCUGCACUGUACAGCCUGAGUAGAUUAUAGUUAAAACAACAAAGAGAGCAUGCAGAAGUAAACUGUUGUGAAAACUGACAACAAAAACAACACAAAGAUUACAUUUCAGAUUCAAAACUAAAUUAUAAAGGCAUCAGAAAAUUUUCAUUAUUUAACUUUUUCCACCUACAAAGAUCAAUACAGAUUUUAAAGGGAGACCUAUGUUUCAAUUUUAUGUAAGUAGAAAUCUUCUCAAUGAAACUAACACAACACAAGGCACAAUGAGUUGUGCCUUCUCUCUGAGUCUUGGGAAUCUCUGAGGAUAAGCAGAUCUGACACUUACUGCUAUAGAGUUGGAGAGCAUUAACAAAGAACUGAGUUUUCCCGCUGAACUUCCCUUUCUGAGAGAAAUUUGCAAGGCUUUCAUUGCCCACGAAGUUAUGUAUAACAAAAAGACAGUUUUUAAUAUCUGUGGGUAUGAUAAAAUUUGCAAGCCCACUCACCCUAUAGUCAUGGAACUGCAGCCUCUGCUACCUAGAAAAAGCAAGACCUACAUGCCCAAAGUAUGACAAUAAUGAAACGGUUCCCAUAUGUAAGCUAAAUAGAUCCACUCAGAAAAAUAAUUUAGACUUUAAAUGUCUACUUCUUUGAUCAUCACUAUGUAUUUAUGAUUCACAUAUUAAAAAAUCAGCAGAACCAAAACCUCAUAAUAAAAUUCUCUUCAUUAGUCCAAGACAUAAUUUUUCUCUAUGCCAAAAUCACAUAUUUGUGAUUUUGAUUUUUUUGAUUGACAGCUCAGGUUCCACAGCUGUUACAGUGACAUUUAUGCCUUCUGUGUGUUACAUAUGUUUGUAAAUACAACUGCUAUCUGCUUAGUUUUGAUGUCCUAAGUGAUACUGGAGCAAACAGCUAUAUAAUUUCUCUCUUUCUCUUUCUGACAGAUAUGAACUAGGCUAUCUAAAAUACUGUCUGUGCCUAUUUAAAUAGGCAUGCCCUUAACUGCAUGCAACCCAUAUGAGCUUCUAUUCUACCUAUGCUGUUAGUGACUCUGGAAUUAUGGGGUGUCUGAUGUCAGAGAUGCUUUAAAAUACUCAUCUCAUCUACAUUAUCAUGGAACCUCAGGUAUCUACGUUAGGAGCACUGGGCCACAAAUAAUGAGUGGACUGGAAUACUUCUCAUCAGAGGAGAGGCUGAGAGCUAGGACUGUUCAGCCUGGGGGAAAGCAGGUUCAGGGAGCUCAUAUCCCCAUGUAUAAGCACCUGAUGGGACAGAAAGAACAAAAGGGAAAAACACUUCCCUCAGAAGUGCCCAUUGACAGGGGAAGAGUCAAUGGAGACAAACGAAAAACCAGAAAAUUCUAUCCAGACACAUAUUAGGAUGAUGAGCAAACACUGAAAUGUGUCUCUCAAAAAGACUGUGGAGUGUCCAUUUAUGAGCAUUUUCAAAUCACAACUGGAAGCUGUCAUAGUCAACCUGCUGAAGGUGAUCUUGCUUGAGCAGGGGAUUGGACUAGCUGGAUUCCGUAGUGCAAAAAGUCCCUUCCAACUUAAAUGAGAAAAACCACAUCACUUUUUUGAAAGCUAGACACAUAAAAAGAGAAUGAGUAUCUCCCUGACAUGACACUACACUUUAAAGGUUAGCUUAAUUGCCCUUUUCAUUGCUUUCCCACCAUUAUACCAGACUGAAAUACUAUGGGAAGGAUUUAAAGAGAAAACACUGUAUUAUAACUAAUACAGUUAAUUAUAUUAUAAUUAAUACAGUUAAUGAUAUUAUAAUUAAUCCCAGUUACUACUGGGAUACUACUAAUAUGUAUCCCAGCCUGGCAGGGAGCCCCCAUCUUCUCUGGCAGAAAUCCCUUGCAAACAUUUCAGUCUGCAGCUGAGAGGAGAGCCAGAAUGGUCUGAGCAUUGUGCUCAGAGAACUGUUCUUCCUUGAUGGGACAGAAGAGCCAAGGACAAGCUGCUUAAGAACAAAGGUGCAUGAAGAAGGAUGCUCAUCUUCUUUACAGGCCUUUGGGUAUGCCUAAAGGAUGCUCAAGAAUGAUGAAGAAUUUAAA